UACAGGGGGGGCAAGCGUUGUUCGGAAUUACUGGGCGUAAAGGGCUCGUAGGUGGCCAACUAAGUCGGACGUGAAAUCCCUCAGCUUAACUGGGGAACUGCAUCCGAUACUGGAUGGCUUGAGUUCGGGAGAGGGAUGCGGAAUUCCAGGUGUAGCGGUGAAAUGCGUAGAUAUCUGGAGGAACACCGGUGGCGAAGGCGGCAUCCUGGACCGACACUGACACUGAGGAGCGAAAGCCAGGGGAGCAAACGGG
Molecule: ribosomal RNA, 253 nt
Filed under: uncultured bacterium
Lineage: Bacteria
Description: partial 16S ribosomal RNA
Rfam family: Bacterial small subunit ribosomal RNA
Source: RNAcentral